UACGGAGGGAGCUAGCGUUGUUCGGAAUUACUGGGCGUAAAGCGCGCGUAGGCGGCUUUGUAAGUCAGAGGUGAAAUCCCGGGGCUCAACUCCGGAACUGCCUUUGAAACUGCAUCGCUUGAAUGUCGGAGAGGUGAGUGGAAUUCCGAGUGUAGAGGUGAAAUUCGUAGAUAUUCGGAAGAACACCAGUGGCGAAGGCGGCUCACUGGACGACUAUUGACGCUGAGGUGCGAAAGCGUGGGGAGCAAACAGG
RNAcentral lists this ribosomal RNA (253 nucleotides) under uncultured bacterium. RNAcentral describes it as "partial 16S ribosomal RNA". It matches the Rfam family "Bacterial small subunit ribosomal RNA", at positions 524 to 776 of the family's 1533-position model. The record is from RNAcentral.